Vicia faba (fava bean) is the source of this 258-nucleotide non-coding RNA. NCBI's taxonomy places the organism in Eukaryota, Viridiplantae, Streptophyta, Magnoliopsida, Fabales, Fabaceae. The record is from the annotation of a GenBank genome assembly.
AUGCCUCUUUCAGCAGUGCCUUUUCCUACUGUUGCCUCUACUACUCCUACUAUUCAAUCUAACUCUUUCUCGUCUGGCUCAAAUUCCUCUACAUCCUCCCAUCAGUCAACCACUUCUGCUAAUAAGCAUACUACCCCUUUUCACACUUCACUUGCUUCUGCUCAUAAUCCCACUACUUAUGUGUACACUCCCAGCAUUUCCUCUCCCAAAUCUUCUCCUUCUCAGUCAGAGGCUUCCUCUUCAUCUUUUGAGCCUUAA